GAGCCCGUGGAUCAAUGGUAGAACAUUCGACUCAAUAACCAAAAGUCGUGGGUUCGAAUCCCACGUGUUCC
This 71-nucleotide transfer RNA is filed under the name Schistocephalus solidus. It matches the Rfam family "tRNA". From Rfam's summary of the family: Transfer RNA (tRNA) molecules are approximately 80 nucleotides in length. Their secondary structure includes four short double-helical elements and three loops (D, anti-codon, and T loops). Further hydrogen bonds mediate the characteristic L-shaped molecular structure. tRNAs have two regions of fundamental functional importance: the anti-codon, which is responsible for specific mRNA codon recognition, and the 3' end, to which the tRNAs corresponding amino acid is attached (by aminoacyl-tRNA synthetases). tRNAs cope with the degeneracy of the genetic code in two manners: having more than one tRNA (with a specific anti-codon) for a particular amino acid; and 'wobble' base-pairing, i.e. permitting non-standard base-pairing at the 3rd anti-codon position. The record is from Rfam by way of RNAcentral. Lineage: Eukaryota; Metazoa; Platyhelminthes; Cestoda; Diphyllobothriidea; Diphyllobothriidae.